Molecule: long non-coding RNA, 1098 nt
Organism: Gadus morhua (Atlantic cod)
Lineage: Eukaryota; Metazoa; Chordata; Actinopteri; Gadiformes; Gadidae
Exons: 3
Source: RefSeq, a predicted model, not a curated record
AGGGCCACAAUUCUUCAUCAUCACCAUCAGAGGGCUAUGUGACUGUGCACUUCAACCAGACGAAAACUGCGAGAAGCUACACAUUUUUGAUUUUGUUCGAUAUGAUUUCCUGUAUUCUGGUGCAUUUUGGGGAUGGCCACUACCUACAAAAUCUUCCAGAUUCAUAACCUAUGCACGGCAGGAGUGGCUAUUGGAGUGGAAUUGUGCGGUUUGACAAACAGGCCGCUAAAGAGAGAGGCCAACGGUGAGAUAUGCCAAAUACCAACCGAGAGGAGAUGUUGGAGGACUCCAUCCACUCAAACAUGGAGAUAGAUGGCUACCCGGACUGCCAUGAAUUUGUGUGGAGCUGCCUGGCCAAGCAACCUCAGGAACGUCUGCCCCUGGAUUGCCUGCUGGGCCAACCCUUGAUUGCAGUAAAGCAGACUGAUGAACCUCUGGACAUCACUGAGCUCAACGUUGCACUCCCUGGUGAAAAUGAAAUGUACCAAGUAUACUUAAUCUCAAUAUACUUAAUGUACUUACAGCACCCUUAAGUGUACUUCACACAUACUAAGUACACUUAAUUUCUAAGAUCAAGUUCACUUAAAAAGUGUGAAUAAUAUUUUGCUAGAAAUACACUUACAAAGCACACCAACCACAUAUUUCAAGAGCACUAUUAUAAAAGGUAUAAGACAAUAUUUCAAAUGCACUGAAGGAGUACUUGUCAUGUUGUCAGAUUAUAUAGAUUAAAUAUCAACAGCACCUUGAAUACAAGUGUUUUUAAAGUUUUGUUUAAGCAUUAUUGAAGUGUAUGUAAAAUAUAUACAGUACCCCCCCCCCUCAAUGGGCGCCUCCAGGCGACCCACCAGGUCUAUCAGGGUGCUCCUCACGGAAAUCUCGGACCAAGGAUGCAAUAACACUUUAUCGGAAAUAUAUUCAAAAUAAACUUUAAGGGAGAUCAGUUAAGUAUACUUGUAAGAAGUAUGAUGAAAGCAUACUUCAAGUAUUACAGCAGUAGCAUACUUAUCAUUAUUAGCCUAUAUUACAGUUGCACUUGAUGACAUCCUGAGCGAAAUACACUUCAUCGGAAAUAUAUUCUAAAUAAACUUUUGAAAAAGA